GGCCCCCUGGACAUAGAACUGACGUCUCAGGUNGCNGAAAGCGUNGGGGAGCAAACNAGGAUUAGNANUACCCUGGUAGUCCACGCCGUAAACGAUGUCGANCUUGGANGGUUGUGCCCUGGAGGCGUGGCCUCCCGGAAGCUAACGCGGUAAGUCGACCGCCCUGGGGAGUACGGCCGCAAAGGUUAAAACUCAAAAUGAAUUGACGGGGGCCCGCACAAGCGGUGGAGCAUGUGGUUUAAUUCGACGCAACGCGAAGAAACCUUACCUACUCUUGACAUCCAGAGAAGACUGCAGAGAUGCGGUUGUGCCUUCGGGAACUCUGAGACAGGUGCUGCAUGGCUGUCGUCAGCUCGUGUUGUGAAAUGUUGGGUUAAGUCCCGCAACGAGCGCAACCCUUAUCCUUUGUUGCCAGCGGUCCGGCCGGGAACUCAAAGGAGACUGCCAGUGAUAAACUGGAGGAAGGUGGGGAUGACGUCAAGUCAUCAUGGCCCUUACGAGUAGGGCUACACACGUGCUACAAUGGCGCAUACAAAGAGAAGCGACCUCGCGAGAGCAAGCGGACCUCAUAAAGUGCGUCGUAGUCCGGAUUGGAGUCUGCAACUCGACUCCAUGAAGUCGGAAUCGCUAGUAAUCGUAGAUCAGAAUGCUACGGUGAAUACGUUCCCGGGCCUUGUACACACCGCCCGUCACACCAUGGGAGUGGGUUGCAAAAGAAGUAGGUAGCUUAACCUUCGGGAGGGCGCUUACCACUUUGUGAUUCAUGACUGGGGUGA
Molecule: ribosomal RNA, 776 nt
Filed under: uncultured bacterium
Lineage: Bacteria
Description: bacterial SSU rRNA
Rfam family: Bacterial small subunit ribosomal RNA
Source: RNAcentral